AUUGAACGCUGGCGGCAGGCCUAACACAUGCAAGUCGAACGGUAACAGGAAACAGCUUGCUGUUUCGCUGACGAGUGGCGGACGGGUGAGUAAUGUCUGGGAAACUGCCUGAUGGAGGGGGAUAACUACUGGAAACGGUAGCUAAUACCGCAUAACGUCGCAAGACCAAAGAGGGGGACCCUCGGGCCUCUUGCCAUCGGAUGUGCCCAGAUGGGAUUAGCUUGUUGGUGGGGUAACGGCUCACCAAGGCGACGAUCCCUAGCUGGUCUGAGAGGAUGACCAGCCACACUGGAACUGAGACACGGCCCAGACUCCUACGGGAGGCAGCAGUGGGGAAUAUUGCACAAUGGGCGCAAGCCUGAUGCAGCCAUGCCGCGUGUAUGAAGAAGGCCUUCGGGUUGUAAAGUACUUUCAGCGGGGAGGAAGGGAGUAAAGUUAAUACCUUUGCUCAUUGACGUUACCCGCAGAAGAAGCACCGGCUAACUCCGUG
RNAcentral lists this ribosomal RNA (490 nucleotides) under uncultured bacterium. RNAcentral's name for it is "partial 16S ribosomal RNA". It matches the Rfam family "Bacterial small subunit ribosomal RNA", at positions 30 to 507 of the family's 1533-position model. The record is from RNAcentral.